UGGGUCGAGGAGGAGGAGAAGAGGGGUUAAAAGGAAAGAGGAGGGCUGGGUCGAGGAGGAGGAGAAGAGGGGUUAAAAUGAAAGAGGAGGGCUGGGUCGAGGAGGAGGAGAAGAGGGGUUAAAAGGAAAGAGGAGGGCUGGGUCGAGGAAGAGAAGAGGGGUUAAAAGGAAAGAGGAGGGGCUGGGUCGAGGAGGAGGAGAAGGGUUAAAAGGAAAGAGGAGGGCUGGGUCGAAGAGGAGGAGAGGGGUUAAAAGGAAAGAAGAGGGGUUAAAAGGAAAGAGGAGGGCUGGGUCGAGGAGGAGGAGAAGAAGGGUUAAAAGGAAAGAGGAGGGCUGGGUCGAGGAGGAGGAGGAGAGGGGUUAAAAGGAAAGAGGAGGGCUGGGUCGAGGAGGAGAAAAGGGGUUAAAAGGAAAGAGGAGGGCUGGGUCGAGGAGGAGGAGAAGAAGGGUUAAAAGGAAAGAGGAGGGCUGGGUCGAGGAGGAGGAGAAGAAGGGUUAAAAGGAAAGAGGAGGGCUGGGUCGAGGAGGAGGAGAAGAAGGGUUAAAAGGAAAGCGGAGGGCUCGGUCGAGGAGGAGAAGAAGAGGGGUUAAAAGGAAAAAGGAGUGAUGGGUCGAGGAGGAGGAGAAGGGGGGUUAAAAGGAAAGAGGAGGGCUGGGUCGAGGAGGAGGAGAAGGGGGUUAAAAAGGAAAGAGAAGGGCUGGGUCGAGGAGGAGGAGAGGGGUUAAAAGGAAAGAAGAGGGGUUAAAAGGAAAGAGGAGGGCUGGGUCGAGGAGGAGGAGAAGAAGGGUUAAAAGGAAAGAGGAGGGCUGGGUCGAGGAGGAGGAGGAGAGGGGUUAAAAGGAAAGAGGAGGGCUGGGUCGAGGAGGAGAAAAAUGGGUUAAAAGGAAAGAGGAGGGCUGGGUCGAGGAGGAGGAGAAGAAGGGUUAAAAGGAAAGCGGAGGGCUGGGUCGAGGAGGAGAAGAAGAGGGGUUAAAAGGAAAAAGGAGUGAUGGGUCGAGGAGGAGGAGAAGGGGGUUAAAAGGAAAGAGGAGGGCUGGGUCGAGGAGGAGGAGAAGGGGGGUUAAAAGGAAAGAGGAGGGCUGGGUCGAGGAGGAGGAGAAGAGGGGUUAAAAGGAAAGAGGAGGGCUGGGUCGAGGAGGAGGAGAAGAGGGGUUAAAAGGAAAGAGGAGGGCUGGGUCGAGGAGGAGGAGAAGAGGGGUUAAAAGGAAAGAGGAGGGCUGGGUCGAGGAGGAGAAGGAGAGGGGUUAAAAGGAAAGAGGAGGGCUGGGUCGAGGAGGAGGAGAAGAGGGGUUAAAAGGAAAGAGGAGGGCUGGGUCGAGGAGGAGGAGAAGAAGGGUUAAAAGGAAAGAGGAGGGCUGGGUAGAGGAGGAGGAGAAGAAGGGUUAAAAGGAAAGAGGAGGGCUGGGUCGAGGAGGAGGAGAAGAAGGGUUAAAAGGAAAGCGGAGGGCUGGGUGGAGGAGGAGAAGAAGAGGGGUUAAAAGGAAAAAGGAGUGAUGGGUCGAGGAGGAGGAGAAGGGGGGUUAAAGGGAAAGAGGAGGGCUGGGUCGAGGAGGAGGAGAAGGGGGGUUAAAAGGAAAGAGGAGGGCUGGGUCGAGGAGGAGGA
This is a long non-coding RNA of Oncorhynchus keta (chum salmon), 1604 nucleotides long. RefSeq lists it as uncharacterized. The transcript has 3 exons. Lineage: Eukaryota; Metazoa; Chordata; Actinopteri; Salmoniformes; Salmonidae. The record is from RefSeq and is a predicted model, not a curated record.